Molecule: ribosomal RNA, 648 nt
Filed under: Lactobacillaceae bacterium
Lineage: Bacteria; Bacillati; Bacillota; Bacilli; Lactobacillales; Lactobacillaceae
Description: bacterial SSU rRNA
Rfam family: Bacterial small subunit ribosomal RNA
Source: RNAcentral
GCGAGCUUGCCUAGAUGAUUUUAGUGCUUGCACUAAAUGAAACUAGAUACAAGCGAGCGGCGGACGGGUGAGUAACACGUGGGUAACCUGCCCAAGAGACUGGGAUAACACCUGGAAACAGAUGCUAAUACCGGAUAACAACACUAGACGCAUGUCUAGAGUUUGAAAGAUGGUUCUGCUAUCACUCUUGGAUGGACCUGCGGUGCAUUAGCUAGUUGGUAAGGUAACGGCUUACCAAGGCAAUGAUGCAUAGCCGAGUUGAGAGACUGAUCGGCCACAUUGGGACUGAGACACGGCCCAAACUCCUACGGGAGGCAGCAGUAGGGAAUCUUCCACAAUGGACGAAAGUCUGAUGGAGCAACGCCGCGUGAGUGAAGAAGGGUUUCGGCUCGUAAAGCUCUGUUGGUAGUGAAGAAAGAUAGAGGUAGUAACUGGCCUUUAUUUGACGGUAAUUACUUAGAAAGUCACGGCUAACUACGUGCCAGCAGCCGCGGUAAUACGUAGGUGGCAAGCGUUGUCCGGAUUUAUUGGGCGUAAAGCGAGUGCAGGCGGUUCAAUAAGUCUGAUGUGAAAGCCUUCGGCUCAACCGGAGAAUUGCAUCAGAAACUGUUGAACUUGAGUGCAGAAGAGGAGAGUGGAACUCCAUGU